Long non-coding RNA from Carassius carassius (crucian carp), 430 nucleotides. RefSeq lists it as uncharacterized. The record is from RefSeq and is a predicted model, not a curated record. The transcript is spliced from 2 exons. NCBI's taxonomy places the organism in Eukaryota, Metazoa, Chordata, Actinopteri, Cypriniformes, Cyprinidae.
AUUAAAUGUCCAUUUUGAGUCGCACGUCUUCACUAGUUUCACACUAGGGCAUAGAAGGUCUAAGAAAAGUCUUAAUCAUGUUGUUUUCAUAUGAAUCAUUUUCGCACAGCUGUGGGAUUUAAGAAGGAAUAAACUUCAGUGAGUGUGAGGCCGGUUUUUUGUGCGUGUCAUUUGGGGGCAUUGAGGAAAAUGCAGAUUGACAGGAGGCAUUUGUGUACUUGCUAAAUCUAUUGUGUCUUCUGGUUUGGUGGGCUACUUUGUGUCAUACAGCUAGCAUCAGUGUCUGUGUGGAUGCCAGAGAAUGUAUUGCUGUGUGUUAAUUCAGUGUUAAAAUCUUGACUUGUCUAACCAAACUCCUGAAUGUUUUUCUUUCAUUUUGUGCAUCACAAAAUAGUUAAUCUUGUAAUAUAAAUGGUCGAUCUGCCACUAA